AAUGAACGUUGGCGGCAUGGAUUAGGCAUGCAAGUCGAGCGAGAAGGGUUUUGAAGCUUGCUUUGAAACCCGGAAAGCGGCGCAAGGGAGAGUAACGAGUAGUUAUCUACCCCAGGCCCGGAAUAGCUGCGGGAAACUGCAGGUAAUGCCGGAUAAUAUCCCCGGAUCAAAGGUGUGAUUCCGCCUUGGGAGGAGACUGCUUUGUACUAGCUAGUUGGUAGGGUAAUGGCCUACCAAGGCUACGAUGCAUAGCGGGCGUGAGAGCGUGGCCCGUCUCACUGGGACUGAAACACUGCCCAGACACCUACGGGUGGCUGCAGUCGAGAAUCUUCGGCAAUGGGCGAAAGCCUGACCGAGCGAUGCCGCGUGCGGGAUGAAGGCCCUCGGGUUGUAAACCGCUGUCGUAGAGGAGAAAGGUCUGAUGAAGAAUCAGAUUUGAUCUAUUUUAGGAGGAAGUCCGGGCUAAGUUCG
This 471-nucleotide ribosomal RNA is filed under the name uncultured bacterium. Its description in RNAcentral is "partial 16S ribosomal RNA". It matches the Rfam family "Bacterial small subunit ribosomal RNA", at positions 29 to 505 of the family's 1533-position model. The record is from RNAcentral.